GUCCGCACAGUAAACGAUGGAUGCCCGCUGUGAGCCUGUUUAAUGGUUUGCGGCCAAGCGAAAGCGUUAAGCAUCCCACCUGGGGAGUACGCCGGCAACGGUGAAACUCAAAGGAAUUGACGGGGCCCCCGCACAAGCAGCGGAGCAUGCGGCUUAAUUCGACGCAACGCGAAGAACCUUACCAAGGCUUGACAUAUACAGGAAUAUGGCAGAGAUGUCAUAGCCGCAAGGUCUGUAUACAGGUGGUGCAUGGUUGUCGU
Molecule: ribosomal RNA, 260 nt
Filed under: uncultured bacterium
Lineage: Bacteria
Description: partial 16S ribosomal RNA
Rfam family: Bacterial small subunit ribosomal RNA
Source: RNAcentral